AGUCUUGCCUGCAGGAGGCCCAUUUCAGUGUGGUGGGGGAUGAGGGCUGACCAGGAUACUGUUGAAAAUGCACAGUGUUAUGGACAACCAGGCUCCCUGCACUCUGUUCUCUUCAACAGGGGGAUUUGGUUUCCUUUCCAUCCAUUACCUCUCCUCCUGGCUCAAUAACUCCUUCAGCCAUUAGAAAUCAUUCCUGUCUUGGAAUCUUCUGUCUUGCCCACCUCUUAUCUUCCAGUUCUUGUAUCUGAGUCCUUGACUUCUCCCUUGUCCUUAAUAGUUCAAUUUGAUGACCUGUCCAUGUCCUAUUUCCUGCAAGACCAACCCCUGUUUUGCUUUCUCCAGGCUCCCAAGUGCUGGAGGUUUGGCUCAGACCUCCAGGCCUGUGAAUGUGGCUUGCUGUCAAACCUGCCAUGUUGAUGGAACACCUGCUUUUAUAUCUUCACUCAUUUGAUGCACAUGUAUGGAGCCAAGAGAACACUUAUCAUGUGCCAGGUACUGUGUUAGAUGCUGAGGAUACAGAGACCCACAAGAAUCAGUCCCUUUCAAAAAAGAACUCAUGAUCCACUGGGAAGAAACAAAUCAGCAAUUACAGCACAAUGGAUGGAGUGGCAUGACAGUUGUGAACACGCAGCACUAUUGGAGCAGAGAGGAGGACGAUCUUAAAUCAGAUGGGGUGUGUGCAGGUGGUCUCUCUGCGUGUCUCUGUCUUCAUGUGGUGCUUUCUUCUUCUUACAAGGACAUCAGUCAUGCUGGAUUAGUUCCCACCACUACUCUCUGGGACCCCCAAAUCAGAAUUGUCUAUUUGAAGUCUGCUGCUAUGCUAGCUCACCUUGACUGCAAGGCUCCUGACAGCAGGGAUUACUGUGUAAUCUGGGCCAGGCACAUAGUAGGCCCUCAAUACA
Long non-coding RNA from Pan troglodytes (chimpanzee), 902 nucleotides. RefSeq lists it as uncharacterized. NCBI's taxonomy places the organism in Eukaryota, Metazoa, Chordata, Mammalia, Primates, Hominidae. The record is from RefSeq and is a predicted model, not a curated record. The transcript has 3 exons.